Molecule: long non-coding RNA, 704 nt
Organism: Oncorhynchus tshawytscha (Chinook salmon)
Lineage: Eukaryota; Metazoa; Chordata; Actinopteri; Salmoniformes; Salmonidae
Source: Ensembl
UCAUUCUCAACACCUUGUAUUAAACUACAAUAGUCUACAAACAAUUUGUGCACUCUACUCUAGAGAAUAGGUGUUGGAAACAUCACAUUCAGGGCAGUCUAUCCAGCAGGAACUUGACAUACACAAGCUGUUUUAUGGAUCAGGUGUAAAUGAUUAGGAGCGCUAGGAGUGGGUUGGGAGCUCUUCUCUUCUAGCUCUACAACGACCGAAUUCGGUGACGGACUGAAAGGUUCCCGAAGUGGAGACAAAGGUGAUCUCCUCGGAAAGCAACGGACAGUUUAGAAAUCGGCACGAGACUACAACGAAGGGCGAGAAGGAUGUUCUAUUCACGCCGUCGUCUCAUUCUGUAGAUAGACAGAGAAAAGGACCCCUUUGGUAUCAAGCUUCUCUCUCUACCAUUCGGUGGUUCGGGGGGCGACAGAGACUGUUAGAUUCUCUGACACUGGGAGUGAAAACAACGUGACAUUGCGAAGGAAAAACCUGCCUGUUCCCUGCUUUUAGUGGCUCUCUGUUCCCCUCAUCACAGAGCAGCAUGCUGCCUGCUUUCAUGACAUUUCCUCCCCGCCAACCUGGCUAGUUUUGCUGCCUAUUCCCAGCGAGCUCUUCUUGCUGUAUCUCCCAACUGUCCACGGGCCUACUUCACCGACUGUCCACGGGCCUACUUCACCGACUGUCCACAGGCCUACUUCACCGACUGUCCACGG